This 866-nucleotide long non-coding RNA is filed under the name Gouania willdenowi (blunt-snouted clingfish). RNAcentral describes it as "lncRNA (ENSGWIG00000012677.1)". Lineage: Eukaryota; Metazoa; Chordata; Actinopteri; Blenniiformes; Gobiesocidae. The record is from RNAcentral.
CCCAGUCCCUCCUUCAGGAGGCGCGGAAUUCGUGCCCAGUUUGAGAAACCGGCAUGGCGGACGUUUCUUCUAAGUCCAGACUGAAACGAAAGAAGUCUUCUGUGGUAGAGCUACAGUCUGAUCAGUUAAAUCCGAAAGAUGAGAAAGCAACAUUAGCGCUGACAGUGAACUGUGCAGCCAUUACUGAAGGGCCAGUGGGCGGAGCCUCAGUGUGGUGGAACAGAGCACAGCCGCCUGCUGUGGAGAGCCUGUGGGCGUUUGCACUGAAGUCUGUCUUUCUUCCAUCCUCUACAAGCAAGCGCUUUGAUUGGCUGACGGAUCUCCCACUGCCAUCUGCAGUGGCGCCUGUAGCACAGUCAUCAGAGGAUGGGUGGAGCUAUGACCUCAGCGCUGCAGUAGCUCCUCUGCCUGAGCCGCCUGCCCUGCCUGUGGCUCCACCCACACUGGACUCCUCCCCUCAGGACUGCACACCUGUGUCGGGCCUACCUGAGAGAACAACGUCUGGAAGGAUUUCUAAUCAUGCAGUUGUUUGUCAGCCGCCUCCAUCAUCAGAAACCAGUCGUGUUGAUGGAGGCAACGCCGUCUCAUGUUGCUCGUUUAAUGUUCCUCUCUCACCGCCGCCCGACCGUCAACAAACGCCUGUGGGAGUGGCAGACAAGGAGGAGGAGUUGGCGAUGGGGCAAGAGAAGAAAAAUGUCUCAGAGCAUGGAGGGAAUCCAGCAGCAGCAGCAGCAGGAGGAGGAGGGGAAGGGCUGCACAGCUGUCCCAUGUGUCUGCAGGUGUUUCCUGACGGGUGUUCACAGAUGGAGCGUGACGGCCACCUGGCUCAGUGUCUGUCAGACAUGAAUGUGGAUGUGACCUGGUGA